GUGAGGAAUAUUGGACAAUGGGCGCAAGCCUGAUCCAGCCAUGCCGCGUGCAGGAAGACGCAUCUAUGGUGUGUAAACUGCUUUUGUACGGGAAGAAACACUCCCUCGUGAGGGAGCUUGACGGUACCGUAAGAAUAAGGAUCGGCUAACUCCGUGCCAGCAGCCGCGGUAAUACGGAGGAUCCAAGCGUUAUCCGGAAUCAUUGGGUUUAAAGGGUCCGUAGGCGGUUUAAUAAGUCAGUUGUGAAAGCCCAUCGCUCAACGAUGGAACGGCCAUUGAUACUGUUCGACUUGAAUUACAAGGAAGUAACUAGAAGAUGUAGUGUAGCGGUGAAAUGCUUAGAUAUUACAUGGAAUACCAAUUGCGAAGGCAGGUUACUACUUGUGGAUUGACGCUGAUGGACGAAAGCGUGGGGAGCGAACAGGAUUAGAAACCCGUGUAGUCC
Molecule: ribosomal RNA, 445 nt
Filed under: uncultured bacterium
Lineage: Bacteria
Description: partial 16S ribosomal RNA
Rfam family: Bacterial small subunit ribosomal RNA
Source: RNAcentral